AGUGAACGCUGGCGGUAGGCCUAACACAUGCAAGUCGAACGGCAGCACAGCAAGAGCUUGCUCUUACGGGUGGCGAGUGGCGGACGGGUGAGGAAUACAUCGGAAUCUACUUUUUCGUGGGGGAUAACGUAGGGAAACUUACGCUAAUACCGCAUACGACCUACGGGUGAAAGCAGGGGAUCUUCGGACCUUGCGCGAUUGAAUGAGCCGAUGUCGGAUUAGCUAGUUGGCGGGGUAAAGGCCCACCAAGGCGACGAUCCGUAGCUGGUCUGAGAGGAUGAUCAGCCACACUGGAACUGAGACACGGUCCAGACUCCUACGGGAGGCAGCAGUGAGGAAUAUUGGACAAUGGGCGCAAGCCUGAUCCAGCCAUACCGCGUGGGUGAAGAAGGCCUUCGGGUUGUAAAGCCCUUUUGUUGGGAAAGAAAAGCAGCAGGUUAAUACCCCGCUGUUCUGACGGUACCCAAAGAAUAAGCACCGGCUAACUUCGUG
RNAcentral lists this ribosomal RNA (492 nucleotides) under uncultured bacterium. RNAcentral's name for it is "partial 16S ribosomal RNA". It matches the Rfam family "Bacterial small subunit ribosomal RNA", at positions 29 to 507 of the family's 1533-position model. The record is from RNAcentral.